This 425-nucleotide long non-coding RNA is filed under the name Penaeus japonicus. RNAcentral's name for it is "uncharacterized LOC122256242, transcript variant X3". Lineage: Eukaryota; Metazoa; Arthropoda; Malacostraca; Decapoda; Penaeidae. The record is from RNAcentral.
GGCCUUAAUUGUGCAUGCUGGCUCAAUAAAAGGGCGGAGGAAUCAUACCUGACCCCACUUCAGUUCUCGACUGAGCACAUUCUCCGGUCGACCAUGGACAAGUGCAUUCUCCUUUUGCUUGCUGUGUCUUUUAUGCUACUGGUGACGAUGGCUGUAGCAAGAGCAGAGUCUGCACCAAGUCCAAUUCCUGUAGCAAGGUCAGAAGAAAGAUCAGAAAGUGUAUAUGACUAUCUGGAUUGAUCAGACCUUUCAGACGGAUCAGGGCUUCAUGUAAGCGGGUAGCACCCUUGAUGAAGAAUGUUUUUGAGCAAUUAUUCUACAACCUGCUUCCUAGCCUUGUUCCGCCAUCAGGUUCAAGUUGGAAGUAGGUAAGAAACAGCACACUCAAAAAAAUUAAUAAAAUAAAAUUAACAACAACAACGAAA